CGACCGGCGCACGGGNGAGUAACACGUAUCCAACCUGCCGAUGACUCGGGGAUAGCCUUUCGAAAGAAAGAUUAAUACCCGAUGGCAUAGUUCUUCCGCAUGGUAGAACUAUUAAAGAAUUUCGGUCAUCGAUGGGGAUGCGUUCCAUUAGGUUGUUGGCGGGGUAACGGCCCACCAAGCCUUCGAUGGAUAGGGGUUCUGAGAGGAAGGUCCCCCACAUUGGAACUGAGACACGGUCCAAACUCCUACGGGAGGCAGCAUG
RNAcentral lists this ribosomal RNA (262 nucleotides) under uncultured bacterium. RNAcentral's name for it is "partial 16S ribosomal RNA". It matches the Rfam family "Bacterial small subunit ribosomal RNA", at positions 92 to 353 of the family's 1533-position model. The record is from RNAcentral.